RNAcentral lists this long non-coding RNA (1195 nucleotides) under Panax ginseng (ginseng). RNAcentral describes it as "long non-coding RNA (PGIN_LNC000235)". The record is from RNAcentral. Lineage: Eukaryota; Viridiplantae; Streptophyta; Magnoliopsida; Apiales; Araliaceae.
AGUCAAUUAAAAUAUAAAUAUAUAACAAUCCCAAACAAACAAUUAUGUUAUGCAACAUAAAUAGAAUUCUAUAAUAUACAACAAAUAAAUAUUCAUAAUCUAGACAAAGAAAAGAAUUUCAAAAUAAAAAAUAUUCAGAUACAAUUUAGAAACUUACUUAAGUUACUUGUCAUAAUUCAAUUUCAAUGAUUCCCCAAAUGUUCAAAACCUCAAACCAAAUUUGUUUUCUAUAUUCAAACAAAAUCAUGAAUUUCAAGGCUUAAAUUAGUUUUGGUAUAGGAUCUUAAUAAAUACUCCCUCCAUCCCAUUAUAUCUCACUUCACACAGAUUAAGAAUAGAUGCAAUUUUACUAUUUUACCCUUAGUUAAUACUUUAAUCUCGUCAUGUGCUCUGUCUUCUUCAUCUCUAUCACCUGAAGAAGAAUACUAUGUCAGCAUAGGUAACAAUUGAUCCAUGAACAGCCACCAUUUAUCUCAUCCUACACUCCGUCGUCUUUUUCUUCAUCUCUUCAUCAGCCGAAUCUGACCGAGAUCUGACUGGUUAGUAAAACAAUGACCAAAAUCUGACCGAUUAGUAAAACAAUGGACGGAUCUGACCGGUUGUCCAAUACCUACGCGAACACCGUACGAGAGUAGGAAGCUCUGGCAGAGGUUUCCAAUGGCGUUGGCGAAUCAUGAAUCGUCGGCAUGAUCGCACGAGGGAUGAAUAUGUCGCGUGCGCCGCUGCCGGCGCUCCAAUUCCUCCAUGGCCUCCCUCAGUCGAUCCUCAGCCUCCCGCAGGCGCAAAUUCGCGGCGUCGCUGUCGGAGGCCGGAGAUGAGAACGAAGUGGUCUUGGACAGAGAUGACAUGUAGAGAUAGCAAGCAUCUGUUGAGGGAGAGAAUUUGGAUAAAAAAGUAAAUGGUGUUAUAGAAUGGGUGUUUUCGUGAUCAUUACUGUUUGAAGUGUGUGUGUUUGUGAGAGAGAAUGGAAUUUGAAUUGUCACAGAGAAAAUAGCCAUUAAUGGUGGUGGAGAAGGAAGGGUAGAGAAGAAAAAUAAAUAGGCAAAAUAUUCUUAAUAUUGUAGAACGUUAAAUAUUUUGAAAAAAAAAAUACUCUAAAACGUUAAAUAUAAUGAGAUGAAAGGAGUAUAUAAUAAUUGUGAUAUUAACAAAUGUAAAAAGGACCCUACUCCUUCAUGUGUUCCAUGCGGCCAGG